Molecule: long non-coding RNA, 240 nt
Organism: Oreochromis aureus
Lineage: Eukaryota; Metazoa; Chordata; Actinopteri; Cichliformes; Cichlidae
Exons: 3
Source: RefSeq, a predicted model, not a curated record
AGCUGUUAUCUCCUGUCUAAAAGCUCUGGUUCCUGGCAUUCAGCUAGAAAACACUGCACAGACCAAGGAGCAGAUUUAGUGGUCAUAGAUAGCCCUAAUGAACAGAACUUCAUCGUUUCAAUCACCCAGCAUUUAGCUUGGAUUGGUUUAAGUGACAUAGAACAAGAGGGCACGUGGAAAUGGGUAGACGGAACGCCUCUGACUCUGAAAUACUGGGCACCUCGCCAGCCUGACAACAGG